GAAAUUUAAUUCCAAGUAUUAGGAUGCCAUAAGAAGUUGUUCUUAAAAGCAAAGAUCAGUUCUGUACGUAACUAAGAUUUUGUAUCUGUACAAAUAUGUCAGAUGUCACAACUUUGGGAACAAAACAAGAAGUUUACCUAGGUAGCACAUGCCAGAAUCUGCAUAUCAUCGUAUCCCAUUGAAUUUAAAGAAAGGAGUUAACAGACUGGGGAGAUAAACAAACAAGUUGUGCAGUGUUCCACCAAACCUAACAGCGGAGUUUUGUCACUUCUUGAAAAUUAUUAACAAGCAACAAAACAUGCAUGCAAAGCUCAUUAUACAAGUUGUCAUGCAAAGCAUUGAUGAUGCUGGAAAUAUCAGAUGGUCCUCACUAAUUUCAAUAACAUUAUUUCCCGAAACAGAUAAUUCGAGUAUUUCUAGGCUUUUAACAACUCCUGUUUCACAGAAAUCCACGUGGGAUUUGUUUUACUUCAUGAAAGGUUUUAAAAAGAAAUCCUCCCAAGCAGGCAUGAACCCUUUCCAUGUACAUAUGUCUUGGCUUCCCAGCUUUUUCAGUUAUCUAAUAAAGAAGAGAGAGAACUUCUGCCCACAUUUCCUACCCUGCUCGUGUCCUUAAGGUAUCACCGCAGUGAUGUUCUCACACUAAUGCUAGCAGGUCUCCCUGAAAGUCACAGGAUACACCCUGAAGAGCAGCUGUACUCUGAUGGAAGGGCUUUUGCUAUAGAAGUUCUGUACAACUAAACAGGUUUUUGUUUAAAAGAAUAAAACCAAAACAAAAAAAGGCCACAAAACAAAAACAAAAAACCAACCCAUUUCUUGCUACUCCACAAUCUCUGUUUACUUAUUUAAAGGAGAAAUCUGCUUCUGAAAGCACCACCAGUGCCUGGCAGCUGACUGUCAACUCUCCAGGCCCCUAAAGACAAAGCCAGUUCUCUGUGUGACUGCAGACAUCUCCGUUCAGACAGUCGUGGUCUCACUGCUCACAAGUUAGCUACUUCUCUUCGUCCAAGCUCUGAGAGAGCUGAUGAGAACUAAGCUGCCAGAACACACACCCACAGAGACCACACAGCACAGAGAUUUAAUUUCAAGCAGUUUUCGCAGAAACAAUCCUUUACACCUCUGGUUAGAGGCCCUCUAAGAUGCAGACUGGAUAACCCACAAAUACAUAUUUCAGAUUCUUAAGACAAAAGGAAGAAAUCACUGCUCAACACCAGCUUCAGUGCAAUGCAGGAACUUAGAGACAUGCUUUUUUUGUUUAAUUAGUUCUUCAUUCAGCCUGCUUUUGUUGGCAAAUAAGACCAUAUGCUUCCAUUUUUA
Molecule: long non-coding RNA, 1317 nt
Filed under: Gallus gallus (chicken)
Lineage: Eukaryota; Metazoa; Chordata; Aves; Galliformes; Phasianidae
Description: long non-coding RNA NONGGAT002820
Source: RNAcentral